AUUGCACGCUGGCGGUAGGCCUAACACAUGCAAGUCGAACGGCAGCACAGAGGAGCUUGCUCCUUGGGUGGCGAGUGGCGGACGGGUGAGGAAUACAUCGGAAUCUACUCUGUCGUGGGGGAUAACGUAGGGAAACUUACGCUAAUACCGCAUACGUCCUACGGGUGAAAGCAGGGGACCUUCGGGCCUUGCGCGAUUGAAUGAGCCGAUGUCGGAUUAGCUAGUUGGCGGGGUAAAGGCCCACCAAGGCGACGAUCCGUAGCUGGUCUGAGAGGAGGAUCAGCCACACUGGAACUGUGACACGGUCCAGACUCCUACGGGAGGCAGCAGUGGGGAAUAUUGGACAAUGGGCGCAAGCCUGAUCCAGCCAUACCGCGUGGGUGAAGAAGGCCUUCGGGUUGUAAAGCCCUUUUGUUGGGAAAGAAAUCCAGCUGGCUAAUACCCGGUUGGGAUGACGGUACCCAAAGAAUAAGCACCGGCUAACUUCGUGCCAGCCGCCGCGGUAA
RNAcentral lists this ribosomal RNA (506 nucleotides) under uncultured bacterium. RNAcentral's name for it is "partial 16S ribosomal RNA". It matches the Rfam family "Bacterial small subunit ribosomal RNA", at positions 30 to 523 of the family's 1533-position model. The record is from RNAcentral.